GCGGAUGUAGUGCAUGGUUCACCACUGCUACGACUAUGUUUGUGGUCGGUGUUUGAUCAGCAGUUCGACGGGGUUCGACUCCCCGCGUCCGCA
Mycena metata is the source of this 93-nucleotide non-coding RNA. The record is from the annotation of a GenBank genome assembly. Lineage: Eukaryota; Fungi; Basidiomycota; Agaricomycetes; Agaricales; Mycenaceae.